GCUUCCGCCUCGGCCGACGCUCCAGCUGCCCCGGGUCGCCAAGCUCCGCUCCCCGCGCGCCCACCUCCCCGGCUCCCGCCCCGCGCUCACGCCCCCUGGUGGUCGGCCUGGCCCAGCCGCCCCGCGACGUCAGAGAGGCGGCGCUCCGAGCUCCUCUGCUUGGGAAACUGAGGCACCGGGACUCCGCUACAGCGGGGCAUUCAGCCCUCGGGGCUGCUCGGGCUAGGAGUAAGUUCCUCACCCCCACGCCACCAGUCAACUAGAAAAAAAGAACGUUCCCUUCAGAGAAGCCCAAUCCCAUUCCUGUUUGUGAUUCUGUCCUCUUUGCUCCCUUCAGGCAGUUUUCAUUACCCUGUCACACAAUACUCGCUGGUAUUCACUUCUGUCCAUUCCACUCUCUCCCUGUCACCCCGCUCCCACACCACCACCACCACCCCUCCAUCCCCACCAGGGAAAGUCUCAGUUCAGCUUUGAGAAUUUAAGAGCAAGGACCAAAGGAAUACAAGAAGUAGGCAGGGAUGAGAGAACACCCCCAUAUAUCUCUCGAAUCCCCCACGAGAUUUCUUCUUUGUGCAUAAAAGAUCACAGAUCACAAAGUCAUUUUGCUUGGCCAUAUUGUUUGAAUUGAUGUGUUGUAAGUUUCUGGGAUCUAGGAGAUUUUAAAGAAUGCAGCAGGUCUAUCACCAUGCAUGCAGAGCAGAGAUAAGCGUUUAUUUUAAAAAUUUCACUGGAUAUGUUAUUUCCCUUUCCUCUGCUUUUUUUAACCAUUAUGAAAUUUAUCACCCUAACCAUUUUUAAACUUGCAGUUCAGUGGCAUUAAAUGCAUUCACACCGAUGCAACCAUCAUCACCAUCCCUCUCCCAAAAAGAGAGCUUUUCAUCUUCCCAAAAGGAAACUGUCCCCAUUCCCUACCUCCUGAUAGUCACCCUUCUACUGUCUGUCUCCAUGAAUUUCACUAUUCUGGAUGCAUCACAUGAGUGGAAUCACACAAUACUUGUUCUUUCUUGUUAGGCUUAUUUCACUUAAAAUAAUGUCCUCACAGUUCAUCCAUGUUGUAGCAUGUGCCAGAAUGCUUUUUAAGACUGAAUAAUAUCCAUUGUUCCUAUAA
Molecule: long non-coding RNA, 1108 nt
Filed under: Marmota monax (woodchuck)
Lineage: Eukaryota; Metazoa; Chordata; Mammalia; Rodentia; Sciuridae
Source: RNAcentral